RNAcentral lists this ribosomal RNA (484 nucleotides) under uncultured bacterium. RNAcentral describes it as "partial 16S ribosomal RNA". It matches the Rfam family "Bacterial small subunit ribosomal RNA", at positions 30 to 507 of the family's 1533-position model. The record is from RNAcentral.
AUUGAACGCUGGCGGCAGGCCUAACACAUGCGAGUCGAGCGGAUGAAGGGAGCUUGCUCCUGGAUUCAGCGGCGGACGGGUGAGUAAUGCCUAGGAAUCUGCCUGGUAGUGGGGGAUAACGUCCGGAAACGGGCGCUAAUACCGCAUACGUCCUGAGGGAGAAAGUGGGGGAUCUUCGGACCUCACGCUAUCAGAUGAGCCUAGGUCGGAUUAGCUAGUUGGUGGGGUAAAGGCCUACCAAGGCGACGAUCCGUAACUGGUCUGAGAGGAUGAUCAGUCACACUGGAACUGAGACACGGUCCAGACUCCUACGGGAGGCAGCAGUGGGGAAUAUUGGACAAUGGGCGAAAGCCUGAUCCAGCCGUGCCGCGUGUGUGAAGAAGGUCUUCGGAUUGUAAAGCACUUUAAGUUGGGAGGAAGGGCAGUAAGUUAAUACCUUGCUGUUUUGACGUUACCAACAGAAUAAGCACCGGCUAACUUCGUG